GAGUUUGAUCAUGGCUCAGAACGAACGCUGGCGGCAUGCCUAACACAUGCAAGUCGAACGAAGGCUUCGGCCUUAGUGGCGCACGGGUGCGUAACGCGUGGGAAUCUGCCCUUGGGUUCGGAAUAACAGUGAGAAAUUACUGCUAAUACCGGAUGAUGACUUCGGUCCAAAGAUUUAUCGCCCAAGGAUGAGCCCGCGUAAGAUUAGCUAGUUGGUGAGGUAAAGGCUCACCAAGGCGACGAUCUUUAGCUGGUCUGAGAGGAUGAUCAGCCACACUGGGACUGAGACACGGCCCAGACUCCUACGGGAGGCAGCAGUGGGGAAUAUUGGACAAUGGGCGAAAGCCUGAUCCAGCAAUGCCGCGUGAGUGAUGAAGGCCUUAGGGUUGUAAAGCUCUUUUACCAGGGAUGAUAAUGACAGUACCUGGAGAAUAAGCUCCGGCUAACUCCGUGCCAGCAGCCGCGGUA
RNAcentral lists this ribosomal RNA (467 nucleotides) under uncultured Acidovorax sp. Its description in RNAcentral is "bacterial SSU rRNA". It matches the Rfam family "Bacterial small subunit ribosomal RNA", at positions 9 to 522 of the family's 1533-position model. Lineage: Bacteria; Pseudomonadati; Pseudomonadota; Betaproteobacteria; Burkholderiales; Comamonadaceae. The record is from RNAcentral.